Molecule: long non-coding RNA, 184 nt
Organism: Girardinichthys multiradiatus
Lineage: Eukaryota; Metazoa; Chordata; Actinopteri; Cyprinodontiformes; Goodeidae
Exons: 3
Source: RefSeq, a predicted model, not a curated record
AUCCGAACUAAUUGUCUACAAAUAUAUCUGGGUUCUGGAGUUGCGAGAGGGAGGACAUCAGCUGAGUGCCACGUUACCCUGUAGAGACGGUGAAAGCUGCCUUACCCCCAGUAGCUGACAGACCCCUGCACCAGUUCCAGCCAGGACAGUGGGUGCUGAUUAGAGAUACCAGGAGACGUCACUG